AUACUUUAUCUUUUGAAUUUUUAUGAAAAAGUAAUGAGGAAGCUGUUUUCAUUUUUUUUAUUUCGAGUUCUUUUGUUCAAAGCAAUUCAUUCUGGUGAGCUGAAAAUCUGUUUUUAAUAUCAGGAAUCCAAUUUGAGUGUCCAAAAUGGAAUAUCAUUCAGGAAGCCUUGAAAUGGCAUGCAGCUUUAGGAGAGCUUGGUUUUGGCUUUACAAGAGAUGAAAGAGGUCAACUACUUCCUGAUCAAUUCCUUGUCAAAUUAUUCAGUUACUGCACUUGUUCUGGUUUCCUCAAACUGAUAGAAUUUGUUCAUUGAGGCAUGUUCAAUUCUACAUAGAGCACUUUGAGCGACUAGAAAUGGAAGUAUCUGUAUAAUGUUUUGGCUAUUAAAAA
RNAcentral lists this long non-coding RNA (391 nucleotides) under Phasianus colchicus (ring-necked pheasant). RNAcentral's name for it is "lncRNA (ENSPCLG00000003732.1)". The record is from RNAcentral. Lineage: Eukaryota; Metazoa; Chordata; Aves; Galliformes; Phasianidae.